UCAACACCCCCUCACGUCUAGAUCUCUGGAGCGUGGACAACAUAAAUGGGGGGCCAACAUCGGUAACAAUAAUCGGGAUGGGCCUGGCUCUGAUACCAUGAUAAGAAUGGACCUUGGGCCUAACUCAACCCCAAAAGCGGGUCAAUUUUACUAGGCACCUUUUGAUUUUUCACGCCCUUUAAAAAUAAUAAAUGAAGUAUAUUAUGAAAAGAAUGGACCUUGGUCCUAACUCAACCCCAAAAGCUAGCUUAUGAGGUGAGGAUUGCCCAAGUCAUAUAAGGAGAUCAAGGACCUCAAAUCCCUCCGAUGUGGGACAACUCAACCAUUCUCGACUAACAAUUUAAAAAUAGUUCUCAGCCAGAGGCGGAUGUAGAGUAUCAGUACCAGUUGAACUUGUUACUUUCGAUGCGGAACAUAAAUUUAUGCGUAAAAAUUCGCUAAAAUUGCAACAAAUAAUAGAUAUGAACCUAUAACUUUUUAAAAUAAUAAUGGGUUCAAUGCUAAUAGUCUUAAAGAUUGAACCCAUAAAACUUAAACUCUAGAUCCAUUUCUGUUAUCAGCUGGUAUCAGACAUUGUUAUAUAUUGCCUGCUAGGCAAGAGGAUAGCAAGUUCCAAAUUCUAUCUCGGUAGGACAUGUAUUUCUAUUACUAUGAAAUUCAUA
Molecule: long non-coding RNA, 662 nt
Filed under: Nicotiana benthamiana
Lineage: Eukaryota; Viridiplantae; Streptophyta; Magnoliopsida; Solanales; Solanaceae
Description: long non-coding RNA (NBEN_LNC024618)
Source: RNAcentral